UACGUAGGGUGCGAGCGUUGUCCGGAAUUAUUGGGCGUAAAGGGCUCGUAGGCGGUUUGUCGCGUCGGGAGUGAAAACGCCGUGCUUAACACGGCGCUUGCUUUCGAUACGGGCAGACUAGAGGUAUUCAGGGGAGAACGGAAUUCCUGGUGUAGCGGUGAAAUGCGCAGAUAUCAGGAGGAACACCGGUGGCGAAGGCGGGUCUCUGGGCCGUAACUGACGCUGAGGAGCGAAAGCGUGGGGAGCGAACAGG
Molecule: ribosomal RNA, 253 nt
Filed under: uncultured bacterium
Lineage: Bacteria
Description: partial 16S ribosomal RNA
Rfam family: Bacterial small subunit ribosomal RNA
Source: RNAcentral